UACAGGGGGUGCAAACGUUGCUCGGAAUCACUGGGCGUAAAGCGCACGUAGGCGGAUUCUUAAGUUAGGGGUGAAAUCCUGGAGCUCAACUCCAGAACUGCCUUUGAUACUGGGAGUCUUCGAGUCCGGGAGAGGUGAGUGGAACUGCGAGUGUAGAGGUGAAAUUCGUAGAUAUUCGCAAGAACACCAGUGGCGAAGGCGGCUCACUGGCCCGGUACUGACGCUGAGGUGCGAAAGCGUGGGGAGCAAACAGG
RNAcentral lists this ribosomal RNA (254 nucleotides) under uncultured bacterium. RNAcentral's name for it is "partial 16S ribosomal RNA". It matches the Rfam family "Bacterial small subunit ribosomal RNA", at positions 524 to 776 of the family's 1533-position model. The record is from RNAcentral.